CCUACGGGAGGCAGCAGUGAGGAAUAUUGGUCAAUGGGCGCGAGCCUGAACCAGCCAAGUAGCGUGAAGGAUGACUGCCCUACGGGUUGUAAACUUCUUUUAUAAAGGAAUACAGUGAGGCACGUGUCCUAUUUUGUAUGUACCUUAUGAAUAAGGAUCGGCUAACUCCGUGCCAGCAGCCGCGGUAAUACGGAGGAUCCGAGCGUUAUCCGGAUUUAUUGGGUUUAAAGGGUGCGUAGGCGGCCUUUUAAGUCAGCGGUGAAAGUCUGUGGCUCAACCAUAGAAGUGCCGUUGAAACUGGGGGGCUUGAGUAUGUAUGAGGAAGGCGGAAUGCGGGGUGUAGCGGUGAAAUGCUCAGAGAUCACGCAGAACCCCGAUUGCGAAGGCAGCCUGCCAAGCCAUGACUGACGCUGAUGCACGAAAGCGUGGGGAUCAAACAGGAUUAGAUACCCCUGUAGUC
Molecule: ribosomal RNA, 460 nt
Filed under: uncultured bacterium
Lineage: Bacteria
Description: partial 16S ribosomal RNA
Rfam family: Bacterial small subunit ribosomal RNA
Source: RNAcentral